Molecule: ribosomal RNA, 492 nt
Filed under: uncultured bacterium
Lineage: Bacteria
Description: partial 16S ribosomal RNA
Rfam family: Bacterial small subunit ribosomal RNA
Source: RNAcentral
GAUGAACGCUAGCUACAGGCUUAACACAUGCAAGUCGAGGGGAAACGGCAUUACGUGCUUGCACUUUUUGGACGUCGACCGGCGCACGGGUGAGUAACGCGUAUCCAACCUUCCCAUGACUAAGGGAUAACCUGCCGAAAGGCAGACUAAUACCUUAUGGUCUUCACUGACGGCAUCAGAUGUGAAGUAAAGAUUUAUCGGUUAUGGAUGGGGAUGCGUCUGAUUAGCUUGUUGGCGGGGUAACGGCCCACCAAGGCAACGAUCAGUAGGGGUUCUGAGAGGAAGGUCCCCCACAUUGGAACUGAGACACGGUCCAAACUCCUACGGGAGGCAGCAGUGAGGAAUAGUGGUCAAUGGGCGAGAGCCUGAACCAGCCAAGUAGCGUGCAGGAUGACGGCCCUAUGGGUUGUAAACUGCUUUUGUAUGGGGAUAAAGUCAAUCACGUGUGAUUGUUUGCAGGUACCAUACGAAUAAGAACCGGCUAAUUCCGUG